CAUCCCAGUUCGGAUCGCAGGCUGCAACCCGCCUGCGUGAAGUUGGAAUCGCUAGUAAUCGCGGAUCAGCAUGCCGCGGUGAAUACGUUCCCGGGCCUUGUACACACCGCCCGUCACACCAUGAGAGUCGGGAACACCCGAAGUCCGUAGCCUAACUGCAAAGGGGGCGCGGCCGAAGGUGGGUUCGAUAAUUGGGGUGAAGUCGUAACAAGGUAGC
This 217-nucleotide ribosomal RNA is filed under the name uncultured bacterium. Its description in RNAcentral is "partial 16S ribosomal RNA". It matches the Rfam family "Bacterial small subunit ribosomal RNA", at positions 1284 to 1500 of the family's 1533-position model. The record is from RNAcentral.